CCUACGGGCGGCAGCAGUGAGGAAUAUUGGUCAAUGGCCGUAAGGCUGAACCAGCCAAGUCGCGUGAAGGAAGAAGGCUCUAUGGUUUGUAAACUGCUGUUAGAGGGGAAUAAAGGGAGCCACGUGUGGAGAGUUGCAUGUACCCUAUGAAGAAGCAUCGGCUAACUCCGUGCCAGCAGCCGCGGUAAUACGGAGGAUGCGAGCGUUAUCCGGAUUUAUUGGGUUUAAAGGGUGCGUAGGUUGUUUUUUAAGUCAGCGGUGAAAGUUUGUGGCUCAACCAUAAAAGUGCCGUUGAAACUGGCAGCCUUGAGUGUGUUUGAGGUAGGCGGAAUGCGUGGUGUAGCGG
Molecule: ribosomal RNA, 346 nt
Filed under: uncultured bacterium
Lineage: Bacteria
Description: partial 16S ribosomal RNA
Rfam family: Bacterial small subunit ribosomal RNA
Source: RNAcentral